This 407-nucleotide ribosomal RNA is filed under the name uncultured bacterium. Its description in RNAcentral is "partial 16S ribosomal RNA". It matches the Rfam family "Bacterial small subunit ribosomal RNA", at positions 28 to 526 of the family's 1533-position model. The record is from RNAcentral.
GACGAACGCUGGCGGCGUGCCUAAUACAUGCAAGUAGGACGCAGUUGCGAACGGGUGAGUAACGCGUAGGUAACUACCUAUUAGAGGGGGAUAACUAUUGGAAACGAUAGCUAAUACCGCAUACUAGUAGAUGGACCUGCGUUGUAUUAGCUAGUAGGUAGGGUAAUGGCCUACCUAGGAAACGAUACAUAGCCGACCGUGGAGGGUGUGAGAGCACACUGGGACUGAAACACGGCCCGGACUCCUACGGGAGGCAGCAGUAGGGAAUCUUCGGCAAUGGGGGGAACCCUGACCGAACAACGCCGCGUGUGUGAAAAAGGUUUUCGGAUCGUAAAGCUCUGUUGUUAAGGAAGCGGUACUUAACCAGAAAGGAACGGCUAACUACGUGCCAGCCGCCGCGGUAAUAC